UGCUCAGCAACUCCUAUCCCUAGCUCUUUGUGGUACUGGCCGUGGUACGAGCAACCUUUGGGAAGAUCCCGGUGGGAACUUUGGUCGUGUGUUGACAGGGAAGG
RNAcentral lists this ribozyme (104 nucleotides) under Aedes aegypti (yellow fever mosquito). RNAcentral describes it as "drz-agam-1 ribozyme". It matches the Rfam family "drz-agam-1 ribozyme". The record is from Rfam by way of RNAcentral. Lineage: Eukaryota; Metazoa; Arthropoda; Insecta; Diptera; Culicidae.